AUUGAACGCUGGCGGCAUGCUUUACACAUGCAAGUCGAACGGUAACAGGGUGCUUGCACCGCUGACGAGUGGCGAACGGGUGAGUAAUGCAUCGGAACGUACCGUGUAAUGGGGGAUAGCUCGGCGAAAGCCGGAUUAAUACCGCAUACGCCCUGAGGGGGAAAGUGGGGGACCGAAAGGCCUCACGUUAUACGAGCAGCCGAUGUCUGAUUAGCUAGUUGGUGAGGUAAAGGCUCACCAAGGCGUCGAUCAGUAGCGGGUCUGAGAGGAUGAUCCGCCACACUGGGACUGAGACACGGCCCAGACUCCUACGGGAGGCAGCAGUGGGGAAUUUUGGACAAUGGGCGCAAGCCUGAUCCAGCCAUGCCGCGUGUCUGAAGAAGGCCUUCGGGUUGUAAAGGACUUUUGUCCGGGAGCAAAUCCUAGUGGUUAAUAACCGCUGGGUCUGAGAGUACCGGAAGAAUAAGCACCGGCUAACUACGUG
Molecule: ribosomal RNA, 484 nt
Filed under: uncultured bacterium
Lineage: Bacteria
Description: partial 16S ribosomal RNA
Rfam family: Bacterial small subunit ribosomal RNA
Source: RNAcentral